UGCCAUAUUAAUAAGCGGAGGAAAAGAAACCAACAGGGAUUGCCUCAGUAACGGCGAGUGAAGCGGCAAAAGCUCAAAUUUGAAAUCCCCCCGGGGAGAGUUGUAAUUUGAAGAUUGCGUCUUGGAGGCGACCCGUGUUUAUGUUCCUUGGAACAGGACGUCACAGAGGGUGAGAAUCCCGUGCGGCACGGCCCCCGGCUCCUUAUAAGGCGCUCUCGACGAGUCGAGUUGUUUGGGAAUGCAGCUCAAAGUGGGUGGUAAAUUCCAUCUAAAGCUAAAUACAGGCGAGAGACCGAUAGCGAACAAGUACAGUGAUGGAAAGAUGAAAAGCACUUUGAAAAGAGAGUGAAACAGCACGUGAAAUUGUUGAAAGGGAAGG
This 379-nucleotide ribosomal RNA is filed under the name Kodamaea ohmeri. Its description in RNAcentral is "eukaryotic LSU rRNA". It matches the Rfam family "Eukaryotic large subunit ribosomal RNA", at positions 36 to 420 of the family's 3401-position model. The record is from RNAcentral. Lineage: Eukaryota; Fungi; Ascomycota; Pichiomycetes; Serinales; Debaryomycetaceae.